This 271-nucleotide ribosomal RNA is filed under the name uncultured bacterium. RNAcentral's name for it is "partial 16S ribosomal RNA". It matches the Rfam family "Bacterial small subunit ribosomal RNA", at positions 524 to 794 of the family's 1533-position model. The record is from RNAcentral.
UACGUAGGGUGCGAGCGUUAAUCGGAAUUACUGGGCGUAAAGCGUGCGCAGGCGGUUCUAUAAGACAGAUGUGAAAUCCCCGGGCUUAACCUGGGAACUGCGUUUGUGACUGUAGGACUUGAGUGUGGCAGAGGGGGGUGGAAUUCCACGUGUAGCAGUGAAAUGCGUAGAGAUGUGGAGGAACACCGAUGGCGAAGGCAGCCCCCUGGGUCAACACUGACGCUCAUGCACGAAAGCGUGGGGAGCAAACAGGAUUAGAUACCCUGGUAGU